Molecule: long non-coding RNA, 5409 nt
Filed under: Arabidopsis thaliana (thale cress)
Lineage: Eukaryota; Viridiplantae; Streptophyta; Magnoliopsida; Brassicales; Brassicaceae
Description: long non-coding RNA (ATHA_LNC000595)
Source: RNAcentral
CUUUUUUUUUUUGUUGUUGUAAAAGUUCAUAUAAAUGUCACCAAUUGUUUUUUGUAUUUUUCUUGUUUGAUAGUAUCGUUUAAGAAAACUUUUGAAAGUACCUGGGCCACUGUUUUUUCCUUUGCUUCUGCUAUUUCUUUGAGAACAUCAGAUUCCAUAAUUUUGGGAGUUCCCCAAAAAGCUCCUCUAGAUCCCAACACCGAGUACGCUGUGACAACAAUGUCGUUCGAUCUACAAAGCUCCCUUAGCUUUCUUUGUUGCCAUAUUGGACUCAUCUCAACCUUGUUUUCAUCCAUAAAAAAAAAAGAAGGGUGAAUUGGAAUUGUUUGCUGAAAAAGAAAUCAAAGAGUAAAAAAGUAGUGUUUACUUGAUUGACGCUAGGCGGGAUUGUCGCGAUAGAGAGUAUGUGUUGAAGCUUCUUACAUGAAAAAUUGCUUACUCCUAUGCAUUUUGCGAGCCCAAGUCUCUGACACUCCUCCAUUUCAGACCACACUACUUCGAAAUCCAUUGGCAUAAAAUCAUCUUCAUCAAUAGGAAACUUGUAUUUACCAGGUUUCGAGCUAACCGGCCAAUGAAUUAUAUAAAGAUCAAGAUAGUCCAGUUUAAGGUUUCUGCAAAACCAUAUUUGUUACACAGGUGGUUUACAUUAAGUUAUGUCACUCCCAAAAUAAUAUUCAAUCAUGAAACAUAAUUGACACGGUGACUGAUAGAGAACCUGAUCCAUAGAGAUAUGUGAAAUAGUUUUCUGUAUUUCUCAAUCGGAAAAGUGUUUACAAGUAUGUUUGUAUACAUCUACACUAAACCAACUAAACCAUAUACAAUCACAAUUUAACUUAACCGGAAUCACUAAACCGGACUAUCAUAUAUACAGUUCGAAUAGUGACACCUACUCUCAGUGAUUGAAACCGUGCAUUCUAAUUUCAUGUGAAAAUCAUUAAGGAAUCUAAAUCUUACUUCAAACUCCGUUUGAUCGCCGGUACGACGAGACCACCAUGAGCAUCAGCACACCAAAGUUUGGUAGUGACAAAGAAUUCAGAUCGAGAUCGAACUAAGCCGAGUGAAACCGCCUCCGCUAAAGCUUCGCCGAUCGGCUCCUCCGUUUGGUACCUUGGAGAGGUGUCGAAAUGGCGAUAACCAAGCUUAAUAGCCUCAAUCACCGUCUCUUUCAGCAUCGUUGGUUCCGGUAGCGGAGAAGCGGCGGUUCCAAAACCAAGAACCGGCAUCGAGUGAUGACCGGAUGGUCCGGAUCUGAUGGCGAGCGUAGGGACUGUGGUUAAAGACAUUGGUUAAAGAGAAGUCAACGAAAGUGUGCUCUCAGAAAAUGGUUUCUCUCGGUGGCCCAAAGCUUUACUCAGUAGCCACUGACUAAUGCUAGUGCCUGAUAAUAUUAUAUUAAUAUACUCUCUUUGAUUAGAAAAGUACGUAAGUCUUCAUAUUAUAAGUUUAUAACGCUAUAUAAUUUGACUAUAAAUUGUUAAUAGAAAGUAGUCAUGAUAUUAUAUACGAAAAAUAUUUGAAUUAGUAUUCUUUAAUAUUGUUUAUUUGGAAAACUUUUAAAGAAUAAUAUGUUAUGUAAUUUGUGCUAAAAUUUCAAAAUUUUAAUAUGUAAAUCAAUAAUGAAUUAAUAUAAGUUGUUUUCAGCUUUUUCUCAAAAGCAUGUCACGUAUGAGCAUUAACACCCGUGUGGAAAAAUGGAGCCAAGUGAGCUAAGCAUUUUAGCUUCAUAAAACAAACACACCGACGUCGUUAACUCUUCAUCUUCAUUUUUUUCUGUAACUUCUCCCAUAUUUUUUCUUCCCAAAAAUAUACUAUAAAAAUGAGAACACUUCUUCUAACGAUUUUGAUCUUCUUCUUCACAGUGAAUCCAAUCUCAGCAAAAUUCUACACUAACGUCUCUUCAAUCCCACCGUUACAAUUCCUAAACGCAACGCAAAACGCAUGGGAAACAUUCUCCAAACUCGCCGGUUGUCACAUCGGAGAAAAUAUCAACGGCCUCUCAAAACUCAAACAAUACUUUCGCCGUUUCGGUUAUAUCACCACCACCGGUAAUUGCACUGACGAUUUCGAUGACGUGCUUCAAUCAGCGAUCAACACUUACCAGAAAAAUUUCAAUCUCAAAGUCACCGGAAAACUCGAUUCCUCGACUCUCCGGCAAAUCGUUAAACCGAGAUGCGGGAAUCCGGAUUUGAUCGACGGGGUUUCGGAGAUGAACGGUGGUAAGAUACUCCGUACGACUGAGAAAUACUCGUUUUUCCCCGGGAAGCCACGGUGGCCGAAACGGAAACGAGAUCUGACUUAUGCGUUUGCGCCGCAGAAUAAUUUAACAGACGAGGUUAAACGCGUGUUCUCACGCGCCUUCACGCGUUGGGCGGAGGUGACUCCGUUGAAUUUCACGCGCUCUGAGUCUAUCCUCCGUGCGGAUAUAGUGAUCGGAUUUUUCUCCGGUGAACAUGGUGAUGGAGAGCCGUUUGAUGGAGCUAUGGGAACAUUAGCGCAUGCUUCUUCGCCUCCUACGGGGAUGUUACAUUUAGACGGUGAUGAGGAUUGGUUGAUCUCUAACGGUGAAAUUAGUCGUCGGAUAUUACCGGUGACGACGGUGGUGGAUCUUGAAUCGGUGGCUGUUCAUGAGAUUGGUCAUCUUUUAGGGCUAGGUCAUUCGUCGGUGGAAGAUGCGAUUAUGUUUCCGGCGAUUUCUGGUGGAGAUCGGAAAGUGGAGUUAGCUAAGGAUGAUAUCGAAGGGAUUCAGCAUUUGUACGGUGGUAAUCCGAAUGGAGACGGUGGUGGUUCGAAACCUAGCCGUGAGAGUCAAUCUACCGGUGGUGAUAGCGUUCGUCGGUGGAGAGGGUGGAUGAUUAGCUUAUCAUCGAUUGCCACGUGUAUAUUCUUGAUUUCUGUUUAGUGUAGGUUUUAUUUAUACUUUUAUUCCAUCUUAUUUUGGGGUCAAUUAAUCGAUUUGUUUUUGUUUUUCUUCUAAAAGUAACGAUUCUAUGUUAUCGAUGGAAAAGUAACGAUUUGGGGUCAUGGUCUCAUGGAAAUGAGAGAAAUUGUAAAAUUCUUCAUAUAUUGGAUUUUGGUGUUUAUUAAUGCAUAUUAAAUUUAAUGUCAGAAAAAACUUCGUUAGAACAAAAUGUUGUCGUAAAAUAUGAUUUUCUUUUUCUUUGGUCGGUGAAAUAUGUAAAUCUGUUUCUGCUAGACUAUUGAAUAUUUCGAUUUUUUGGUCAAAAAACUGUUGAAGUUUUCUUCACAAAUUUUAAAGGUCUUUAAAGUUUUACAAUGAGUUAUGACUCAUAGACUUACGAAGUCAUCACAUACAACACUAGUUAGAGCAUCAUUAAUGGUAGUUUCUUAGGUUAGUCUUAACUUAGUUCUUAGGAUUUUUUUUAAUUGAUUUUAAUUUUUUAAAACAAAAGAUAAGAAUACUUCAAUUUGUCUUUUAUAUAAGAGACUCUUUUAACAAAUAUAUGAUUAAAAACAUUAAAUUUGUAACCAAAAUUUCCUAAGAAUUAAGCUAAGCAACUAUCAAUAAUGGUGCUCUUAGUCGGUCCAAUUUGUUUGAGAAGACUUGUUUUUAUUGAUAAUCACCACUUACAUUUUUGUAAUGUUUCACAAAUCCACGUAUGUAGUUUUAUUUAAAAUAAAUACUAUGUUUUAAUUAAUAGUGGGAUUCUAAAGUAAAUUGAAAUUAUCAACAAUCGUGAAUUCGAACAUGUAUAUAGUCUAUAUAUAAUGACCUUGCGGCUCCUUCAAACACUGAACUACACCUGGUGGACCAUUUUCACAUUCUUGAAUGACGAAAAGUCUCUUCACUAAUGCAUACCCAUGCAUUAUCGUAAUGGCAACACCUGAACCAUGAGUCAUUAGCUUUAUGGUUAGCAUUGUAGUGAAGUUUUGUACAUGUUGGUGUAGUUACAAUAAUUUCAAUAACAAAAGCAAAACCACAUUCUUUCUCAUGGACUAAAUCUUUGCCAUAAGAGAACUUCUCGCUGCAAUCAUGUUGGCAUUUGGGCAUGUCACAAUGACUGCUUCCACAAAUGCCAAACAUGGCUGCACCAAGAAGUUCUCUUACGACAAAGAGUUCUUCCGAUGAGAAGGAAUGCGGUUUUGCUUUAUAUAUGUUACUGAAACUGCAACUACACAAGCAUGUACAAAGAUCUCUAUCAUCACUACAAAGUUAACCACAUGUACAUGUGUAAUGACGCAUGGUCAGAUGAUGUUUUUCUGACACGAUUAUCUUAUGCUAGAGGCAAAUAUUCUAGUAUCAUGUUGAUAACGUUGAUCAAAUAAGCAAACUUCCAAAUAAUUUAUUGAUUUUGAUCAUCUCGAUACUUCCACUUAAGAACCAGUGAAAACCAGUGUUCUGUCAAAAUGAUGGGUGGAUCUUUGGAAACAAAGCCACCAUCUUCUAUUGGACUUGAAAAUAAAAUCCACCAAACUUAUGCAUAAAUUUUUCGUUCGUUUAGCUAGAUUGACGGCCAAGAAAAAUUAACAAAUUUUGGUCAUCAAUCUAGCUAAAUAAAGAAAAAAUAGUGCAUAAGUAUGGUGGAGUUUUCUCUUGAUAUUUCUUAUGUCUAAGAAGACGAGGUGAGAUAUAUUCCAUAAAUCUACUUAUCGUUUUGAUGUAACUAGUAUCUUUUUAUUUUCUUAGGAGAGUGUAUUGUAAUUCUUCUUAAACACUUUACUCUUACCAAUUUAUCAUGUAUCAAUAUUAAUUAGUACGGCACAAUAGUAUAAUUGACAUAAGAAUGCGGAAACAACAUAUAGUCCACGCUGAAAUCAAUGAAGUAAGAAAAUGGAAACUUAAUUCAUUCGCAAACAUAACAUUAUUUGUUAUACAAAAAUGAAAAUAACAGAUAUUAACUAUCAAAACAAACAUAACCAAUUCAUAUAGUCAUGCAGAUCGAAAUUAUCAAUCAGACGAUAUAUUUAUCAAUCUUGCAAAGAAACAAAAACAAAGAUUUUACAAUUAAGAGAGAUGAAGAUCGGACCGUAAUGCUUUCAUUCCCCAGAAGAAGAGAUGAGAUGGGAUUCAGAUUCAGACAAUAAUACCUAUCGAUGUAACCUUUUCUUUUCCCCAAAAGAAGUACACAUCAAAUUCCCACCAUCAUGGAUCCAUCAUCCUUUUAGGAGAUGCUUGUUUUGUUUUUUUCCUCUUACUCUCUUGAACAAGAACAACAAGGCCAAGAUCUCCAUCGUGUGUUUCGUAUGUCUGAAAAUCCCUCUGAACUUUUUAUUAUAGUUUUGAUGAGACUUGUUUGGUGGAAGUUUGGUGGUUCUGAUGAUGAUGAGAGAGAGCGAAGAAAUUAUGGCUUAUAAAAAAGAAGAAGAGACAUGAUGAUUACUGAUUGGUACAAACAUUGAAAAUAGUUAUAAAAAGAGAAGUAAAUUGUCAAAACAAUCACAACUAUUUAC